UGGGGAAUUUUGGACAAUGGGGGCAACCCUGAUCCAGCAAUGCCGCGUAAGUGAAGAAGGCCUUCGGGUUGUAAAGCUCUUUUGUCAGGGAAGAAACGGUAGUAGCGAAUAACUAUUACUAAUGACGGUACCUGAAGAAUAAGCACCGGCUAACUACGUGCCAGCAGCCGCGGUAAUACGUAGGGUGCAAGCGUUAAUCGGAAUUACUGGGCGUAAAGCGUGCGCAGGCGGUUGUGUAAGUCAGAUGUGAAAUCCCCGGGCUCAACCUGGGAAUUGCAUUUGAGACUGCACGGCUAGAGUGUGUCAGAGGGGGGUAGAAUUCCACGUGUAGCAGUGAAAUGCGUAGAUAUGUGGAGGAAUACCGAUGGCGAAGGCAGCCCCCUGGGAUAACACUGACGCUCAUGCACGAAAGCGUGGGGAGCAAACAGGAUUAGAUACCCACGUAGUCCCUGAGCGGGCUGGCAAGGCGCAU
Molecule: ribosomal RNA, 472 nt
Filed under: uncultured bacterium
Lineage: Bacteria
Description: bacterial SSU rRNA
Rfam family: Bacterial small subunit ribosomal RNA
Source: RNAcentral